GAUUAUAAGUUUACUGUACAUUAAAGAAAAUAAACCUGAUAUAAUAAACCUUUCUAACUUUAGAAAGUAGAUUUUAAAUGCUAAAAAUUGGUAGUGUCACUGAUAUCAGAUGCAUUGGAUUUAUUUCUGCUGGAAGAUUUAUUCCCAUUUACUUCUCUUCUUCCCUCACUCAGCAUUUUCAACAUUUUUUAAGCUCUAGAAGGUAAUUUUACAUUUUGGAGGGGUGAUUUUCUGCCAUUAGGGGACAGAAACACGAGGAAAGAAAUAAUUUUUAUAAGAAAACAACAGGAAGAUGAAGAGAACUGGAUAAUGAAGUAAUUGAAUGUGGGGUUUUUAUGUCUACCCUCACACUCCAAUAUUCCCAUUUACCUUCUAAUUAAAUGACAUAAAUUAUUAUUCAGAAAUAUCUUUUUUUUGUCUCUCCUUCUUCUCUUAGCCUAAAUUGGGUAUUGUUUUUUAUUUAGUUACUGAGAGUUCCUGUAUUUAUACAGGAGAGAAAGCAUAUCCUCAUGUCCUUGAGGUUAUAAAGGUGGAGAAAUUAUGCAGUUUAAAUUUUAAUUUUAAAUUAAUGAAUUGGUUAAGUUUAUAUAUGGGAAAUAUUGUUCUUUAAAUGCUUAUCCCUGGUGUAAAAACUAAUCACACUAUAUGAUGGAUAACCUCCUGCCUAAAGAUAGAAAAGUUAUUAUUUUAAAAAUAAUAAAAAUAAAAAUUCCAAAAUUUUGCUUUGGGAUAUGAAUAUGGAAGUGACCUGUGCAAGAUAUUAUGCCAGAAGUUAUUUCUUAGAUUAUAAAAUGAUAUGAUAAUUUCUUAAAUGAUGUGCUAUGGUUUUUUACUCAUUCCCAGUGUAGAUAAGGUGAGGACAUUUUGUAUUACUCUUCAGAAUUCAGUCUAAGAUUAUCUAAUUUGAGAAGUAAAAGUACCUUUUGCAAAGCACCCCCCAGUAAAUAAGGAGUCAAGUCUAUUUAAUGAAAAUUUAAUCUUUUAAUGAAUGUUAUUUUAAGUAAGAAAAUAAAUUUUCUGAACUAUCUUUCAAAUUCCCAGAUACACUUUCUCCACUUUAGUUCCAGUCAAUGGAUCUCUUUAUUCUCUAAAACAUUGGCUGCUUUAUUUGUGUACUGCAUCAAUAACAGUAUGAGAAAGCUGAAAUAAUUUUUUUUUUCCCCAUUCACAAGCACUAGAAAAUUAUUAAACAUACAUCUCUGUUCAACAAAGUGUUUUCACUUACAUGUAGCUGAGGCAAUAAACCUUGCACACUAGUGAAUAUUAUUCUAUGGAAUUUGUUAAUGUACACAAUCACUAGCUAGUACCAAAAAGAUUCUCAGUUAUAUAAUUUCUUAGAUUUCCAUUAUGUUAAAUUUCAGUACCAUUCAUAUUUAAAAGAAAAGUAAAAAUCCCCUGAGAACCAUGGUGGUCAAACCUUCUAAGUCUGUCUGAAAAAUAUCAGAACAAAUAGCAGUGCGAAUACUAAAGUGUUUCUAGCGCUGAUGUUUGUUGUAUUAUCUGUUUCUUUCUAAUGCACUUGUUUAGUUUUAUGGAUACCAAAUGGUUUAUUAUUUUUGGUCUGGAUCCUGGGUCAAUGUGAACAUUGUUAAUACCUUUUCAGAAAAUGAAAUUUUCUGAGUAUGUAGCAGAAAGACAGCCAAGUAAAGUGGUUAGAGUGGAGAGUGAGGGAUUGUGAAAGAAAGAUUUAGGUGACAAGAUGGGUAGUAAUAAGGAGAUUGAACCUGAAGGGAUUCUGUUGAAUAAUUAUGACUUCUUGUCAUACAUGACAUACCCUGGUUGGAAUCCACUCUGUGCUAGUUGGAUUGAGCAGUCAGCCAGGACAAAUCUCUUUUCCUUGCUGAACAGGCUGAAUUCUCUCAGCUUUUCUUCAUAGGAGAGGUGCUUUAUCUAGCUAAUCCUCUCCAUGGCUCUCCUCUGGACCUUCUGUAUGUCAGGUCUAUGUUCUUCCUGUGCUGAGGCCCCCAAAUCUGAAUUCAGCUCUCCAGAUGGAACCUCACAAGGACAGAGUAGAGCCGCAAAAUCCCUUCCCUAGCCCUGCUGCCCAUGCUGCUUUUGAUGCAGCCUUGGAUACCACUGGCCUUGAGGGCUGCAAGUGCACAUUGCUGGGUCCUGUCCAGCCUGUCAUCCACCAGCAGCUCCAGCUCCUUAACAGGGCUGCUCUCGAUCCAUUCAUCUUCCAGGCUGCGUUGAUCCCUGGGGUUGCCCUGAGCCAGGUACAGCACCUUGCACUUGGCAUUGUUCAAUUUAAUGAGGUUUUCAUAGGCCAUUUCUCAGACUUGUCCAGGUCUCUAUGAAUGACAUCCCAUCCCUCUGAUAUGUCAACCACAGCACUUGGCUUCUUGUAGCCUUCAAAGUGGCUGAGGGUGCACUCAGUGCCUCAGUAGAUAUCUCUGAUGAAGACACUAAAUAAAACUGAUCCCUAUGUGGGCCCCCAAGGGAAACCACUUUUCUGUCAUGUCUGUCAGAACACUAAACUGUCGAGAACAUUACCCUCUGGACACAACUGUCCAAGCAAUUUGUCAUCCAUUGAGCAGUUCACCCAUAGAAUCCAUUUCUCUUCACUUUAGACAGAAGGAUAUUGUGGGGGACCAUGUCCAAGGCUUUGCAGAAGUCCAAAUGGAUGACAUAUGUAGCCCUUUGUUGGAUGAUGUCGUUGGUCCAUCAUAGAAGGCCACUGGGUUGAUUAGAGAGGACUUGCCCUUGGUGAAGCUGUGCUACUGUUCUGAAUCACCUCCCUGUCCUCCAGGUGCCUCUGCACAGCUUCUAGGAGGAUUCUGUUCCAUGGUUUUCCCAGGCACAGAGGUGAUGCUGACAAAUAGGUGCCUGCUAAGAAAGUCAGGAGCCUCCCCUGAAAUCCUGAAAUGGAGAAUGAGCAUCCAAGGAGCUGUUAGGAGAAGUUUGACAUUCCUGGACAUGAAGAAG
Long non-coding RNA from Passer domesticus (house sparrow), 2925 nucleotides. RefSeq lists it as uncharacterized. NCBI's taxonomy places the organism in Eukaryota, Metazoa, Chordata, Aves, Passeriformes, Passeridae. The record is from RefSeq and is a predicted model, not a curated record. The transcript has 3 exons.